This 443-nucleotide ribosomal RNA is filed under the name uncultured bacterium. RNAcentral describes it as "partial 16S ribosomal RNA". It matches the Rfam family "Bacterial small subunit ribosomal RNA", at positions 338 to 795 of the family's 1533-position model. The record is from RNAcentral.
CCUACGGGAGGCAGCAGUGGGGGAUAUUGGACAAUGGGGGGAACCCUGAUCCAGCGACGCCGCGUGAGUGAAGAAGUAUUUCGGUAUGUAAAGCUCUGUCAGCAGGGAAGAAAGAAAUGACGGUACCUGACCAAGAAGCCCCGGCUAACUACGUGCCAGCAGCCGCGGUAAUACGUAGGGGGCAAGCGUUAUCCGGAUUUACUGGGUGUAAAGGGAGCGUAGACGGUUAAGUAAGUCUGGAGUGAAAGGCCGGGGCCCAACCCCGGGACUGCUCUGGAAACUAUUGAACUUGAGUACAGGAGAGGUAAGCGGAAUUCCUGGUGUAGCGGUGAAAUGCGUAGAUAUUAGGAGGAACACCGGUGGCGAAGGCGGCUUACUGGACUGUAACUGACGUUGAGGCUCGAAAGCGUGGGGAGCAAACAGGAUUAGAUACCCGUGUAGUC